AACGAACGCUGGCGGCAUGCCUAACACAUGCAAGUCGAACGAAGGCUUCGGCCUUAGUGGCGCACGGGUGCGUAACGCGUGGGAAUCUGCCCUUGGGUUCGGAAUAACAGUGAGAAAUUACUGCUAAUACCGGAUGAUGACUUCGGUCCAAAGAUUUAUCGCCCAAGGAUGAGCCCGCGUAAGAUUAGCUAGUUGGUGAGGUAAAGGCUCACCAAGGCGACGAUCUUUAGCUGGUCUGAGAGGAUGAUCAGCCACACUGGGACUGAGACACGGCCCAGACUCCUACGGGAGGCAGCAGUGGGGAAUAUUGGACAAUGGGCGAAAGCCUGAUCCAGCAAUGCCGCGUGAGUGAUGAAGGCCUUAGGGUUGUAAAGCUCUUUUACCAGGGAUGAUAAUGACAGUACCUGGAGAAUAAGCUCCGGCUAACUCCGUGCCAGCCGCCGCCGUAACAC
This 452-nucleotide ribosomal RNA is filed under the name uncultured bacterium. RNAcentral describes it as "bacterial SSU rRNA". It matches the Rfam family "Bacterial small subunit ribosomal RNA", at positions 29 to 526 of the family's 1533-position model. The record is from RNAcentral.